GCUUGUCUCAAAGAUUAAGCCAUGCAUGUCUAAGUAUAAGCAAGUUAUACCGUGAAACUGCGAAUGGCUCAUUAAAUCAGUUAUCGUUUAUUUGAUAGUACCUUACUACUUGGAUAACCGUGGUAAUUCUAGAGCUAAUACAUGCUAAAAGCCCCGACUUCGGAAGGGGUGUAUUUAUUAGAUAAAAAACCAAUGCCCUUCGGGGCUCCUUGGUGAUUCAUAAUAACUUAACGAAUCGCAUGGCCUUGUGCCGGCGAUGGUUCAUUCAAAUUUCUGCCCUAUCAACUUUCGAUGGUAGUAUAUGGGACUACCAUGGUUUCAACGGGUAACGGGGAAUUAGGGUUCUAUUCCGGAGAGGGAGCCUGAGAAACGGCUACCACAUCCAAGGAAGGCAGCAGG
This 399-nucleotide ribosomal RNA is filed under the name Blumeria graminis. RNAcentral describes it as "partial small subunit ribosomal RNA". It matches the Rfam family "Eukaryotic small subunit ribosomal RNA", at positions 30 to 432 of the family's 1831-position model. The record is from RNAcentral. Lineage: Eukaryota; Fungi; Ascomycota; Leotiomycetes; Helotiales; Erysiphaceae.